CGGGGUGGUAUAUAUAUGACACGACCUGGAAAUCCAUGUUUACACUUACUCACUGCUGACCUACUAACGGGUUCUUAUCACCAAAUACGGCCGCUUACAGGUUAAUACAUCAUAUAGUACGCGGAGAAUUUGUAAUUUGAAGGGAAUACCUUAUCUGUUAGUUGGGACGUUCCCGGAUCCCAAGUUGAGACCGUCAAACAGCUGUCAACAUUCGGAAGACAUCGUCAAAACAACAGACUCGCGUGAGACGCCUUAUAACGAGGUGAAUAUCGCGUCGCUAUAUCCUGCUAUCUGGGUGACAGGGUCCGGAGUGGUGCAACAAUAACGGUUGUUUCAUGGACGUGACAGUGUGAAGUUUAUGCCAGUUGUGGUGACACUGUUCGUAGUCGUCAGCUGUGUUUCAAUUCGACAUGGGUACUGCUGAAGAGAAAACACCCCUUUUAAGUUCGGGGGCGCACGAGAACGUACAGUACAACGAGGAUGUCAAGUUCAAGCCUGGUGAUACCUCAAAGAAUAAGGGAGAUGAAGAGAAAAAUACAAAAUCAGCGACAUUUGGGGAAAUGUUCCAGUUUGCAACAUGCCUGGACGUUUUCUUCAUGUUUGUCGGUACGCUGUCGGCCAUGGUACACGGAGCUGGCUGGCCACUUCUCUCCAUUGUGUUCGGCGACAUGACCAAUGAUUUCAUCGGGACUGGUAAUGCCUCAAUGCCGGAUAUGAAUGGUACAGCCGGUAACUGGACACCACCUCCAAUUGACUUUGAAGAACAGAUGACCCAGUAUUCACUGUACUAUAUUUAUAUUGGGGUAGGAGUCAUGGUCGCUUCAUACAUGCAGGUGUCAUUCUGGACCAUGUCCUGUGAACGUCAGACAUACAAGCUGAGAAAGGCGUUCUUCAAAGCUGUUCUGAGACAAGAGAUUGGCUGGUUUGAUGAACAUCAAAGUGGCGAAUUGACCACACGACUUGCAGAUGAUCUGGAGAAAUUAAAAGAAGGUAUUGGAGAUAAGUUCAGCUUGUGCGUUCAGUUUUUCUCUGCGUUCAUCUCGGGAUUUGUCAUCGGCUUUAUAUAUGGAUGGAAGUUGACGCUGGUGAUGAUGUCACUGACUCCUGUGCUUGCCAUAGCAGGUGCAUUCAUGUCCAAGGCCAUUGCAUCAUUUUCAAAACGAGAACAAGAGAAGUAUGCCGAGGCAGGGAGCGUGGCAGAGGAAGUGCUGUCCUGUGUCCGAACGGUCAUCUCAUUUAAUGGACAAAAGCAAGAGAUAACAAGGUACUCCAGUGCCCUUGAGGACAGUAAAAAGCUUGGUAUACGGAAGGCUGGCAUCACUGGUGUUGGUAUGGGCAUCACGCUGUUUGUCAUGUUUUCAGCCUACGCUCUGGCAUUUUGGUUUGGCUCGACUCAGGUGGCAGAGUGGCAGCAAUCCAACAUGCAGGAGGGACUGUCUCCGGGCAUUGUCUUCACUGUGUUUUUCUGUGUCAUGAUUGGCUCCUUCUCCAUUGGCAACGCAACCCCACAUGCCAGUGCCAUAGCAACCGCCAAAGGAGCAGCUUCUGCUGUUGUAGAAAUCCUCAAGAAUGUACCGUCAAUCGAUGCCUCCGCUGAUGCUGGGAUUCGACUUCAGUCAGUCAAAGGGCUCAUGGAGUUCCGAAAUGUGGAGUUUUCCUACCCAACCAGGAAAGAAGUGAAGGUGAUGAAGAACUUCAACCUGACGGUUCAGCCCGGGCAGACCGUGGCCCUCGUUGGCGCCAGUGGGUGUGGCAAGUCUACCACAGUCAACCUCAUUCAGAGGUUCUAUGACCCAGAUUCAGGAAAUGUGUACCUGGAUAACACCAACUUGAAGGAACUGAACAUCCCCUGGCUCAGACAAAAUAUCGGCAUCGUGUCACAGGAACCAAUUCUGUUUGGCUGCACUAUCAGGGAGAAUAUUCUCCUCGGCAACCCUGAUGCAACUGAGGCAGACAUCAUGAAGGCAUCAAAGCAGGCUAACGCUCACGACUACAUCACCAAACUACCCCAGGGUUACGAUACCCUGGUUGGAGAGCGGGGAGCUCAGCUAUCUGGAGGACAGAAACAGAGGGUGGCCAUCGCCCGCGCCCUGGUCCGCGACCCCAAGAUCCUGCUGUUGGAUGAGGCCACCUCAGCUCUGGACUCUGCGAGUGAGGGCAUAGUGCAGGCGGCUCUAGACAAGGCCCGAGAAGGACGCACGACUAUCAUGGUUGCUCACCGACUAUCCACAAUCCAGAACGCCGACGUCAUCUACGUGCUGCAGGACGGCGAGAUCGUGGAACAGGGGAAACACUCCGAGCUGAUGUCCCACAACGGGCCGUACUACCAGCUGGUCACUCUGCAGACCAUCGCGGAGGAGGUCGAUGCUGAUGACAAGAAAGCAUCCGUUGAGAACGGCCAUGUCUCUGAUGGAGAACCCUUCAAACGUGUGGACUUUAAACGCCAGUCAUCGAAAGCCAAGACCCCUGCAGCAGACCACCAGGUUUCCCGUCAGGUGUCAAGUCAAACAUCCAAACCAAAAACAAAGGAAGAAGAGGCAGAGGAAGAGGAAGUCACCAAGCCUGGGUUUUGUCGAAUGAUGCAGGAGAAUUCACCUGAACUGCCUUUCAUCAUCAUGGGGUGUAUCGCUGCCUCCCUCAAUGGCUGCACUAUGCCACUGUUUGCCGUGUUCUUCAGUGAAAUUAUCAGGGUGUUCGGAGAGACAGGAGACCAGCUAAAGGAUGACGCUGUGUUCUGGAGCCUCAUGUUCCUGGCGCUAGGUGGCGCCAACUUCCUCACAAACUCCAUCCAGACCUAUUCAUUUGGCCAAUCAGGCGAGAGACUGACAAUGAGGCUGAGACUGAAGACAUUCAAGAACAUACUCCGACAGGAUGUGGCUUACUUCGAUGACCCCAAGCACUCGUCAGGUGCCUUGACCACAAGACUGGCCACAGAUGCGUCCAUGGUCAAAAAUGCGACAGGCAUUCGUCUAGCUACCAUGAUUCAGUCUCUCGUGGGUCUGGCUGCCGGUCUUGUCAUUGCCUUUAUCUUUGGCUGGAAAUUAGCUCUGGUUGUCCUGGGCGGUGUACCUGUCAUGGCUUUAGCAGGUGCUGCCCAGAUGAAGGCUGUCACUGGAAACCAGAAGCGGGACUCAGAACUUCUGGAGGAUGCUGGAAAGACUGCUGCUGAAGCCAUAGAGAAUGUCCGGACGGUGCAGUCACUUACCAGGGAGAAGCAUUUCUAUGACCAGUAUUGUGCUGACAUUCUCAAACCCUACAAGGAGAACAUGAAGCAGGCCCAUAUUUAUGGCAUCUCCUUUGGCUUCUCACAAGGCGUUGUGUUUUUGCUGUACGCCGGAGCGUUCCGGUUCGGGGCCUACCUCGUCUCCAUCGGCGACAUGGAAGCAAAUUCUGUGUACAGGGUCUUCUUCGCCAUAGCCUUCACUGGAAUGGCCGUUGGUCAAGCGUCCUCCUUCCUGCCCGACUACACAAAGGCCCGGCUGUCUGCCGGACUCAUCUUCAAGCUGCUUGACACCAUCCCCUUCAUCGACGUCUACAGCAACAAAGGCAUCGUCCAGAGUAACGUGAGUGGCGAGAUCACGUUAAAGAACGUCCAGUUCUCCUACCCCACGAGACCUGAUGUGCAAGUGUUGCGGGGUUUGAACAUCAACAUCAAGCCUGGAGAAACUGCAGCGCUUGUCGGAAUCAGCGGAUGUGGGAAGAGCACAGUUGUCUCCCUUCUUCAGAGAUAUUACGACACUUCUAGUGGGGAAAUUCUGAUUGACGGCACAAAUAUACGCGAGUUUAAUCUCGCCACGUUGCGGUCAUUCAUCAGUGUCGUGAGCCAGGAACCGAUUCUGUUUGACUGCAGUAUUCGGGAAAACAUAGCAUACGGCCUUGAGCGUGACGUCAGUAUGGCCGAGGUCAUUCAGGUUGCCAGGACAGCCAAUAUACACGAGUUUAUUUCUAACCUACCCCAGGGGUACGAGACGACCGUUGGAGAGAAAGGCACCCAGUUGUCGGGGGGACAGAAACAGCGAGUCGCCAUCGCCCGGGCACUGGUUCGCAACCCACGAAUCCUCCUCCUGGAUGAAGCGACGUCUGCCUUGGACACAGAGAGUGAACAGGUUGUGCAGUCGGCGUUAGACAACGCAAGUGAAGGCAGGACUUGCCUCGUCAUUGCUCACCGACUUUCCACCAUACAAAACGCAGAUGUUAUUUUCAUGGUUGAGAAUGGAUCCAUCAUUGAACAGGGAUCACAUCAAGAACUAUUAGCAAAGAAAGGUGCUUACGCGACCUUAGUGGAAGGCCAGCAGUUCAACAAGUCUUGAAGAAAGUUUAUUCUAGAAUCCUUUGACAUUUAAAAAAAAAAAAAAAAAUUUGAAUUACUGUUUUUGAUUUCUGGAAAAUAUUAUAAAUAGAUCCCAGAUGAGCUUCUUACCAAUAAACUUGUUUAUUUUAUAUUUUUUUAGUACUGCUUCUUGUAACUAGUACAGAAGGACUCUUGAAUGUGUAUGUGAAAAAUGAGUCAUUUUUAUCAUGUUUAUACAUCAGAAUUUCUGAAAAAGACAAAAUGUGAUGUCCUGAUACCAACUGAUGUGUGAUAAGACCUGUUUCUUGUAUCUUGAUGUUAUUUCCAAUCAACUUAUGAUUGAUUUGUUUUAUGUGAUGCUAAGUGUUCAUGAAUAUAUAUUUUACCUGACACUUUGUGUUCUGCUUCUAUGUUUUAACAACCUUGGUUUUGAUAAUAUGACAUUGUUUCUAGUAUUUCUGCAACAUAUAAACAUGCAUAUGUUUAAAUACACAAAAAUGGUAUUUGAUAGUGUGCAUUUGUUUAAAAUAAAUCUUGAUAUGCGUGAAUGUGAAAGAUAAUGAAAUUAAUGCUUCACCCCAAGAAAGCUGAAAGCCUUCUUGUUACUUGCGGUUUAUUCAGUACAUUUACAACAAUUAUGUUAUUAUGGUAAUAUUUGAAUACAAUUUCCUAUCUGAAACUGAUUCUACAAAAACCACUAAACUUGGCAUGCUACUCUGGCAUAGUGUUGUCAUCAGCUUUUGUCACUCGACUUCGAUUUUAUUUUAUGUUGCCAUAUUAGACUCAGGUAUUUGAAUUUCCUUCUUGUUCAUGAUACGUUUCCCAGCAACUAGUGGUGUUCUGAAUUAUUGAAAUAAUUGAAGAUGGAUCCGAGUGGUCCAGUCGACCAAGCAAUCAUAGGCAAUUUUCCAUGACUGUACACAAACGAUGUUCUGUAUGGUUUAUUCACUACUUACUACUAAUAAAGACAGAGCGAAGCCAGUGUCUUUCCUAAAAAAAUACUGAAUAAAUAAGUCUUGUGUCGGAAGGGGUGAUAAUUGGGAUUGUUCACUGGCCAAUGUAUUAGCAAAUAUCGCUGUGGUCGCUUAUUAGAGCGGGGCGCUUAUUACGUUGAAUACGGUAGGUAUUAAUAAUAUUUGGUUAGUGAAUCUAACACAGUUAAGUAUGUAUUUUAUUGCGCAAGGGGCAAUUAUGAACAAAUGUACCAAAUUCAUACUUGAGUGAGUGUUGUGAGUUUGGUUUUAUGCCGCUUGUAGCAAGAUUCCAGCAAUAUCGCGGAAGGGGGACACCAGAAAUGGGCUUCACACAUUGUACCCAUGUCGGGAAUCGAACCCGGGUCUUUGGCAUGAGGAGCAAAUGCUUAAACCACGAUGCUACCCGACCGCCCCUCAUACUUUAUUACAGACAUUAAGGGAAAUCACUCAUCUUAACAGUUCUCCAUAGAAGUAUGACACAAUUUAUCUUUUGAUCAUAAUAUAACCACACAUUCAGCUGUACAAAACCAUUUUAAUUUCUGUAUGUUAGUAUGCUAAAUGCAGCAAAUGAAUAAAAACAUUCUUUUUCCUAUUUAUGAAAUGAGGUUACAAUGCAAUGUCAUGUGUCUAAAACUUAUUGUGGUGCUACUCUCAUUAACUUUUGUCCUUAGCAAUACUUGACCUGUUUUGGAAUGGAAAAACUCACAUAUUCUCCAUAUAUUUUGGAGAGUUUUGACUUUUAGUCUACGAUUCUCACCUGCAUAUCGGUUUAUUUUGGCGACAGACUUAAAAAAUACCUCAUACAUGACAGUUGCACAGCAAAACCAACUUCACACCAUUAGAGAUCCUUCAGUCAAAGUGUUUGAGAGGAAAUGGAGGUAUAUUAUUUUACUGCAUGAUCUCAUUAACAUGUGAUACCAGAGGGAUUGCCUGCAUUGUCAAUACAGUGUUACAAAGCUUUUUAUCAUACCUGCAUGUCAGACUGUUGAGAUGCGAUUGGUUCAUGUGAUCUUGAUUAAGUAUUAUGUACCCCGCCUGGGAGAGAAAUAUAUUUCUGAAUUGGAGAAACAUGCUGCAGAUGGAUUUCUGAGCUGAUAAUAAAUCCCUUAUACCCUGCUACAAAGCAAUAAACCACAUGCUGUUUUCUGGUGAAUGAAAGUCACGUGACACAGCACCAAUUAACCUCAGCUCAAUCAAACAGCUGUUUACUAUGAAUAUUCAAUUUGUCUUAAUUCUUUUCAGAUAGUGGAUUGAAACAUAUUGGCAAGACAAUUGGUUGUAAAUACUGCUACAAUUAUCUGAAAUGCAGGCUUGUUGCCCUUAGAAUAGCAGUUUGCUUGUAAAUAGACGGCCAUAUUAGCUCCAUAAUAUAACUGAACAUGUCUGUGUGAUAUAUUUUUUUGAAUAUAUAGUCCUGUCUCAUUUUAUUUAACUUGAUAAAAUGAGACCCUUUUAAGCCAUGGAUCACAUAUGUGCAUCUUAUAUUGAGAAUAAACCUAAUGUACAGUUA
This 6775-nucleotide unclassified non-coding RNA is filed under the name Haliotis rufescens (red abalone). Its description in RNAcentral is "aTP-dependent translocase ABCB1-like, transcript variant X3". The record is from RNAcentral. Lineage: Eukaryota; Metazoa; Mollusca; Gastropoda; Lepetellida; Haliotidae.